CGUCCCUCCAUCCCGUCUUCUCUUUGUCUGCUAAGCUUGUCUUGUCCACUUUUGGCUUCUGGCUGGCCUUCUGUUUCUCCCUCCUUUUUCAGAUAGUUCCCAGGUGCCAGGCUCUGUGCUGGCUUCCAAAGGUGCAGUUGAUGAAACCGCUAAUCACAUGUGUCUUCCAGCUAGUAAUCAAAAAAUAUUGCUAAAAUAAUCACACAGUGAUUUUAUUUCAUGUUUUUCAUGUCCUGAAAGGAGAAGUAUGAGGUAUAUUGAGAGGUGUCUUUGGGGAACUUACCCUAGGCUGUGGAGGAGGGGCUGAAAUAAGAAAGUCUCCCCUGAACUUGACAUUUAAGAUGAACCUUGAGUGCUUCUUAGUUGGCGAGAACAACAAAAACUUGAGGAGAAGCAGUUCUACUUGCCACUUCUCUGCUGUCAGGAGAUUUUUCACUUGAUGCCGAGUUUCAAGGAGAUAAAGCUGGAAAGGAAGCCUUGUUAUUAGGCAUCACAGCUGUGGAUUGAGCAGAACUUUUUGUAGGGCUGCCUUGAAGAUGACAACUUUGGAGGAACUAUGGUGACUGGCAGUGGAAAGAAUCAGGACGUGUGAAAAUCCUUAAAAAUUUAUUGACUUAAAUAACUUUGCCUAUGUUAUGAAUAAAAAGAAACCUUUGUGCAGAAAAAAAAAAAAGAAAGAAUACUGGCAUUGAGGACAA
Dama dama (fallow deer) is the source of this 698-nucleotide long non-coding RNA. RefSeq lists it as uncharacterized. NCBI's taxonomy places the organism in Eukaryota, Metazoa, Chordata, Mammalia, Artiodactyla, Cervidae. The transcript is spliced from 2 exons. The record is from RefSeq and is a predicted model, not a curated record.